This 307-nucleotide ribosomal RNA is filed under the name uncultured Streptococcus sp. RNAcentral's name for it is "bacterial SSU rRNA". It matches the Rfam family "Bacterial small subunit ribosomal RNA", at positions 1073 to 1382 of the family's 1533-position model. Lineage: Bacteria; Bacillati; Bacillota; Bacilli; Lactobacillales; Streptococcaceae. The record is from RNAcentral.
UGUUGGGUUAAGUCCGCACGAGCGCAACCCCUACUUGUUAGUUUGCCAUCAUUCAGUUUGGGCACUCUAGCGAGACUGCCGGUAAUAAACCGGAGGAAGUGGGGAUGACGUCAAAUCAUCAUGCCCUUAUGACCUGGGCUACACACGUGCUACAAUGGUUGGUACAACGAGUUGCGAGUCGGUGACGGCGAGCUAAUCUCUUAAAGCCAAUCUCAGUUCGGAUUGUAGGCUGCAACUCGCCUACAUGAAGUCGGAAUCGCUAGUAAUCGCGGAUCAGCACGCCGCGGUGAAUACGUUCCCGGGCCUU